UCGGCAUAACAUGAAGGCAAAAUAGGAAGGAAAAAAGCAAAAAACAAACGAGGGAAUGUCAAUCAGUGACUUAAUUGCAAUUGAGAAAGAAUUUCAAGAAUAGAGUUAGAGUUCGAGUGAGGAAAGAGAUAAAUUGGGUUUCCUCAGGGAGGAUCUUGUGCUGGUCAAAGGAUAAUCUAAAGGAAUGACUAUUGUUUAUAUUUUCAAUCGUGAAGAAUUGGACACUCUGUUUGAGGUGAGAGAAGGC
RNAcentral lists this long non-coding RNA (247 nucleotides) under Jatropha curcas. RNAcentral's name for it is "long non-coding RNA (JCUR_LNC002353)". Lineage: Eukaryota; Viridiplantae; Streptophyta; Magnoliopsida; Malpighiales; Euphorbiaceae. The record is from RNAcentral.